This is an RNA transcript of Sapajus apella (tufted capuchin), 751 nucleotides long. It is a transcript of the gene named small nuclear ribonucleoprotein Sm D2 pseudogene, with no coding region annotated. The transcript has a single exon. The record is from RefSeq and is a predicted model, not a curated record. Lineage: Eukaryota; Metazoa; Chordata; Mammalia; Primates; Cebidae.
UAUCACUGAUAGUUAUAAAGAUUUGAAAUACUUGCAAACUGAAUCUGAAGUUUUAAAAAGGAUAACAAAAUACUGAUUUGUUGGAUUUAUCCUAUGAAUUUAAUGAUGGUUUUAUAUCAUAUAAACUGACUGCAGGCUGGAUGUGAUGGCCUGUCUCCAGAAGAAAAAAAAAAGCAAAUGCAAUGUUUCAUUAACGGAUUAAUGUAGUUAAGAGAUAACCCUCUCAGGCAGCAGCAACGCGGAGGAAACCGGAGUGAACCGAGAGCUUAGUGACCAACAUGAGCCUCCUCAACAAGCCCAAGAGUGAAAUGACCCCGGAGGAGCUGCAGAAGCGAGAGGAGGAGGAAUUUAACACGGGUCCACUCUCUGUGCUCACUCAGUCCGUCAAAAACAACACCCAAGUGCUUAUCAACUGCCGCAACAAUAAGAAACUCCUGGGCCGCGUGAAGGCCUUCGAUAGGCAUUGCAACAUGGUGCUGGAGAACGUGAAGGAGAUGUGGACUGAGGUACCCAAGAGCGGCAAGGGCAAGAAGAAGUCUAAGCCAGUCAACAAAGACCGCUAUAUCUCCAAGAUGUUCCUGCGCGGGGACUCAGUCAUUGUGGUCCUGCGGAACUCGCUCAUCGCCGGCAAGUAGGAGCCACCUAUCCCUGUCAGUCGACAGAACUCACUCCCCGGUCCUACAGAGACCGCUGCCGCUGGUGUUGAGAACAAUAAAGCUCUGUGUUUUUUUUUCUAGUGGAAAAAAAAAAA